AUCUCAAAAUAAGAUAAGAUCGAUUGAGAAUUCUGCAUUUUCAGGCUUAUCAAAUCUUGUUUCACUGAGUCUAGACAGCAACAAAAAACUUACUAAAAUCGAGGUGGUUAGUCCAUCAUUACCUAACGAGCUGUAUGGCGGAAAACUUGCCAAACUUACCUAUUUGAACCUUGCUCACAACAGUAUAAGAAGUGUUGAUGACGAGGUAUUUACUGGUUUAACCAGUUUAUUAACAUUGGAGUUACAGGAGAACCAGCUUACUACAGUGAACCGUCAGUACUUUGUUGGGCUUAAGAUGCUUUCGUACCUCUUUGUAUUACUUCAAGUAUAGCUUGUAAUGAUCCACAGGAAUCUCAACGGUAAUGCUAUCACUUUAUUGGAAAAGGAACAUUUGAUAUUAUGACCGAGUUAAAAAAAUUAGAUUUGAGUAAAAAUCCUCUCCACGUUGGAUAUGAGUUGGUUUGGGCCACUUAACAAGCUUGAAUUUCUACGCCUCUAUUAUAAUAGGAUCCGUGAUAUUCCACCCAACUUUUUUUCCAAACUAAAAGACUUGACUUUCUUCAUUUUAUAGAGAUUUGAGUGAUAAUCCUUUAACCUCCCUCAAUAAGAAUUUGUUCAAGGGUCUUAAGGACCUUAAGCACUUUCGCCUUGAUUAUAAUAGCAUUCGUGAUAUUCCAUCCACUUUUUUUUCCGAACUAAAUGCCUUGACUUUCUGAAAAAUUAAUAAUGGAGGUGUUGAUAACUCUAUAACCGACAUUGAAACCAAUGCUUUUCCUGCUUCUAUAAGUCCAGACUUCAUAAAAUUACAACUUGGAAAAUCCUUCAGUUGUGAAGCACGUUUGCUGGAUAAAGAUCUUUUUAACGUUUACUGACGAUUUUUGCACGCUUCGGUCGGGGAUUGCACAGAGUUUUAAAACUUUUUUAAAAGGCAAGUUAGGAGGGGAUGAAGGUUCAAAUGCUGGCAAUGCAAAGUCGAUCUGCGUAAAAGUUGGUGUCCUCGCGCACUGUCUUUGCUCUCUU
Molecule: long non-coding RNA, 1020 nt
Organism: Zophobas morio
Lineage: Eukaryota; Metazoa; Arthropoda; Insecta; Coleoptera; Tenebrionidae
Exons: 12
Source: RefSeq, a predicted model, not a curated record